Molecule: ribosomal RNA, 257 nt
Filed under: uncultured bacterium
Lineage: Bacteria
Description: partial 16S ribosomal RNA
Rfam family: Bacterial small subunit ribosomal RNA
Source: RNAcentral
UACAGAGACCUCAAGCGUUAUCCGGAAUCAUUGGGCGUAAAGCGUACCGAUCGGUGGUUGAUAAAGUCAGAAGUGAAAUCUCUCAGCUUAACUGGGAGACUGUCUUUUGAUACUUAUCAGCUCGAGGGGCAAAGAGGAAGCUGGAACGAACGGUGUAGUAGUGAAAUGCGUUGAUAUCGUUCGGAACACCAAUAGCGAAGGCAGGCUUCUGGGUGCCACCUGACACUGCUAGGACGAAAGCGUGGGGAGCGAAUGGG